Molecule: non-coding RNA, 1664 nt
Organism: Sus scrofa (pig)
Lineage: Eukaryota; Metazoa; Chordata; Mammalia; Artiodactyla; Suidae
Source: RefSeq, a predicted model, not a curated record
CAGAAGGACCACUUUGGAAGCUCCUGUGAUGUCUGGGUGAAGGAUGAUGAUAGGUUUGAACCAGGGCACUGGCAGUGGAGAUGGACGAGACCUUCAGGAAAAAUUCAGAAGAUCCACAGUGCCUCCAGCUUCAGCAUCUGGCGGGAGCAGCAACCAAGUCUGAACUGUGAGGUCUUUUAUCCGGCUCAACACAGCAAUAGAGAGCAAUGGCUACGAGUCUGGACCAGGGUUUGGGUCCCACAUCUGCCACUGACCAGCUAAGGCAAGCUACCUCAGUUUCCUCUUCUUUAAAACAGGGAUAAAGGUCUCCUUCAGGGACUGUGGACUAGAAUGAGUUUUGUUUUCAUUUGCUGCUUUCGGAUUUUGCUCACCUCGGAUGGUUUCAGAGAGGAGGAAUACUGUGCUGGGUUUCUAAAGCCAUCAUGAGAGAUGAGGCUGUGACGAGGACGGCAGUUCAUAGGCCACACCUUCGGUAUAUGCAAGUUUUAGGCGAGGGGGUCAAAUCAGAGCAGCAGCUGCCAGCCUACACCACAGCUCACAGCAACACCGGAUCCUUAACCUACUGAGCGAGGCCAGGGAUCAAACCUGCAUCCUCAAGGAUACUAAUCGGAUGUGUAACCACUGAGCCACGACGGGAACACCUCAAAGUAGCUUUAAUAAGAGGUUUAGAGUGGAGAGGAAAUCAAUAGGCUUAGAGACUGAACUUGAAUAUCAACAGGUGAGACAUCCUACUUGGCUGCCGGCACUUCUAUGUUGGCGCUGAGAGAUAGCAAGUUCCUGGCUGCCUGUACUUUAAAACUACCAACUUUUCAUCAUUGUGGCAAAUUUUAGUUCCUUCACUGUGAGAGAAAGUGAAGUUAACAGAGAGGUAGGCGGUGACCUGGACCACAUACAUCCUCCUCCUUGAUGGCGCUGUACUGUGACGGGCAGGGCUGCUUCAGGAUCUCCUCCCACUGGCCAUCUUCAAUCAGCUCCUGAUCCACUUCUUCAGGAGGCAGAUCCUAAAGCAGAGAACACCGGUGAGGACCGCAGCUGUUUCCCGUUUCCGGAAGACCCCUUGUCUCAGCACCAAGAAGAAAUGCAGCAUCGUGACUUUCACAGUCCUUCCUGUGCACCGUGCCUGCCUAGCGCUUUUAAAGCAAACGGAAUACAACUGCGAAAACAGCCACACCUGGCUUAUCAGUUGACGACCAACUUCAUCAUCCUGGACCAGGAUGAAAAAGAAGACAAUUUUUAGGUGUUAUACACUUAUUUAACCAAGUGGCUCUGACAGCUGUGUCUAACUCUCAGUUCCACUAGAUGUCAAUUCCUUCACCUUCACAGUAUUCGUCUUUGAGUCGCCGGGAUUUCCACACACUAAGGGAACACAGCACAGGAGACAACGGACAGCCGCAGCAUCCAUUCAGCAACAGUUAUCGUCCCGGUACCACGUUCUGACUGCACACUGGAUUUCAGGUGUCUUCAAUCUCUUAACAUCAUUUUUUUCUACCAUCCACAUUCUGGAGCCAGGGAUUAUGAGCAUAACGGAGACAAUGAACAAAUGAAAUAUUUGAAACCCGUCAGAAAGAAGCCAAUUGAAACGGAUGUCAAGGAUUGAAUCUCAUACUGUGACCAUUCACGGUCUGUCUGGAAUUAAGAUUAAAAAUAAAAUGGGUCUCUCUGUA